AGUAAAAUGGGCAGCAGCAAGCUGAUUACACAGGGAAAAGCUUCUAUCUAAAUACACAUAGCAUAACAAUCACCCCUGGAAAAACUACAUGGCUUACCAAAAGAGCACAGAAUUUUGAAGAGAGAAUACACUAAAAGGGAAGAACAUAACUACAUGACAUCAUAAGAAGUCCUGAAUUAGAAGCGUAUAUUUGAAAGGUCAUGCAUCCUGAGCUGCCAACAGCUUAACAACCAGAGGCAGAGGCCACCUUUGCCAGCUCACUGCUUCUACUCAUCUUUCAUGAUAGUAGCCAGGCUGAAUAUAGUUCCAGGAUGAUAAUGAAUUGGCUGGGCAUACUGUUUAUAUUAGUAUGUAUGUUCCUGUACUAAACCAAGCAUCAUGAGGCCAGCACUAUUUUGCCAUUUUUCAGAAAAAAAAUAUGAACCCUUCAAAACAUAGUUUGGAAUCAUUUUGUCCAUAAGCAAGAUAUAACCUCCUGAUAUUUUGAUUGUAAUUACAUUGAAUCUGUGGAACAAUUUGGAAAGAACCAACAUCUUGAGAAUUAUGACACUGAAGCUGAGAGCUGAAUAGCAAGAAGCAGCAAGGCAUGGAAGAGCCCAAGUAAGAAGGAGCCCAGAAUCUGACGUCACCUUUUCUCAAGUUAUUCAAUUCAAAUACCUUCCAAUUGCAUAUAUCUAUUACCCAUAGCCCUCUACUGCCUGUGAGACUGAAAAGGGACAAAAAGACAACACAUUGGAGGCCGAGGAGGGCAGAUCACCUGAGGUCAGGAGUUCGAGAGCAGCCUUACCAACAUGGUGAAGCCCCAUCUCUAAUAAAAAUACACAAAUUAGCCAGGCAUGGUGGCACAGGCCUGUAAUCCCAGCUACUUGGGAGGCUGAGGCAGGAGAAUCUCUUCAACCUGGGAGGCGGAAGUUGCAGUGAGCCAAGACCGCAACAAUGCACUCCAGCCUGGACAACAAGACUGAAACUCCAUCUCAAAAAAAAAAAAAAAAAAAUACAACACAAUGUUAAAAGUGGCCCCAUCCUUCCCUUUACUGUUCAGGAUUUAUCACAGGGGCUAAAAUAGGUACAGAAUAUGAUAGUAAAGAAAUCAAAUCCCUUUGGCAUGAUUACAGAGUUGAAUCAACCAAGAUAAAGAAGAAUAUGAUGAAAAGAAGUUGAGAAUUUUACCUCUAAAUUCAUUAUCAUACUAUAAACCAGAGAUUUGACCUAGAGAUGAUGCACUUUUUUCUUGUCCUUAAAAUGCUUUUUCUUUGAUUAUCAUUUUCAGAAAUGCUGUAUAAGAUUUCCACACCCAUGGCACUACAAUAGACUAUGUAGAAGUUGGACAAGAUAUACAGCUUCUAGUAUUCUAUAUGCUAAGACUGCAGUGAACUUCUCCAUUGAAUU
RNAcentral lists this long non-coding RNA (1389 nucleotides) under Pan troglodytes (chimpanzee). RNAcentral describes it as "long non-coding RNA NONPTRT000379". The record is from RNAcentral. Lineage: Eukaryota; Metazoa; Chordata; Mammalia; Primates; Hominidae.